GGUAAUUUAAUCUUAUAAUCAAAAUAAAUGGAUCAAAAAAAUAUACAUAAAUAUAUAAAAACAAAGAGGAGUUAAAUAAUAUUCCUCCCAUCACCCCAACAAAACAAUCUAUUCCCACUCAAUAUAAAUAAAACAAACAAUGAAUAAAUAAGAAAAUUGUCAAACUCUAUAGGGUCUUCUCGUCCCAUAAAAACAUCUAAGAAUUUUAACUCAAAAACCAAAUUCAAUAAACCAAUACCCCCAAGACAGCUUAUGUCUCGUCAAGCCAUUCAUACCAGAUCACAAUUAAAGAACUAAUGAUUAUGCUACCUUUGCACGGUCAAAAUACCGCGGCCCUUCAACUCCAAGUCAGUGGGCAGGCCAUACUUCAAAAACUAACAAGAAAAGAUGUUUUUGUUAAACAGGCGGACAUAAAAAUUUGCCGAAUUCCUCAAAAGCAAUUAACAUCUUACCAUCUCACAAAACAAUCAAUAAAAUUUACUAAUUACACAAUAAUUACCAUACAAACCAAAAGUAAAGAAAACAUUUCAAUAAAUAACUUAAAUUAAAAAAAAUUAAAAAAAGAACAAAUAAAAUUUUAACAUAAUCAAAUAGAAAAUCACUAUAAAAUCCACAAAACUAAAUUAACCACAAACAAUUAUAAAACUAGAACAAGGAGCUAAUCCCCCUCAAUCUUAGCAUCAAAUAAAAAUAAAUUAAAUCAACAACAGAAAUUAAAUAAGAUGCAUGAAUUAAA
Molecule: ribosomal RNA, 736 nt
Filed under: Nasutitermes takasagoensis
Lineage: Eukaryota; Metazoa; Arthropoda; Insecta; Blattodea; Termitidae
Description: partial 16S rRNA
Source: RNAcentral